This 236-nucleotide long non-coding RNA is filed under the name Elaeis guineensis (African oil palm). Its description in RNAcentral is "long non-coding RNA (EGUI_LNC000513)". The record is from RNAcentral. Lineage: Eukaryota; Viridiplantae; Streptophyta; Magnoliopsida; Arecales; Arecaceae.
AACAUCCAUCGCCCGGUGGUAAGUCGGACGUGUUCAUCGCAUCGAGGGUCAAAGUCGAGUGUGUACCGCCUCGACGUGAGUCGGGCACGUUCGUUGAGUCGAAGGUUAACUGACCUCCGAGCACACCCCGAUGACCCGAUCAUUGCGUAGGAUCGAAUGUUGUUCGAUGUGAUCAGUCGGAUGGCGUCCGACGCGUUCGGUCGAAAAAAUGAUGGCAAGUCGAGUUCCCAUUACCU